AGAAUCAACGCUGGCGGCGUGCCUAACACAUGCAAGUCGAACGAGAAAGUGGAGCAAUCCAUGAGUAAAGUGGCGACCGGGUGAGUAACACGUGACUAACCUACCUUCGAGUGGGGGAUAACCUCGGGAAACCGGGGCUAAUACCGCAUAAUAUCCACGGAUCAAAGGAGCAAUUCGCUUGAAGAGGGGGUCGCGGCUGAUUAGUUAGUUGGCGGGUAAUGGCCCACCAAGACAAUGAU
Molecule: ribosomal RNA, 239 nt
Filed under: uncultured bacterium
Lineage: Bacteria
Description: partial small subunit ribosomal RNA
Rfam family: Bacterial small subunit ribosomal RNA
Source: RNAcentral